AGCGAACGCUGGCGGCAGGCCUAACACAUGCAAGUCGAGCGGGCGUAGCAAUACGUCAGCGGCAGACGGGUGAGUAACGCGUGGGAACGUACCUUUUGGUUCGGAACAACACAGGGAAACUUGUGCUAAUACCGGAUAAGCCCUUACGGGGAAAGAUUUAUCGCCGAAAGAUCGGCCCGCGUCUGAUUAGCUAGUUGGUGAGGUAACGGCCCACCAAGGCGACGAUCAGUAGCUGGUCUGAGAGGAUGAUCAGCCACAUUGGGACUGAGACACGGCCCAAACUCCUACGGGAGGCAGCAGUGGGGAAUAUUGGACAAUGGGGGCAACCCUGAUCCAGCCAUGCCGCGUGAGUGAUGAAGGCCCUAGGGUUGUAAAGCUCUUUUGUGCGGGAAGAUAAUGACGGUACCGCAAGAAUAAGCCCCGGCUAACUUCGUGCCAGCCGCCGCGGUAA
Molecule: ribosomal RNA, 451 nt
Filed under: uncultured bacterium
Lineage: Bacteria
Description: partial 16S ribosomal RNA
Rfam family: Bacterial small subunit ribosomal RNA
Source: RNAcentral